CCCGCUGAACUUAAGCAUAUUAUUAAGCGGAGGAAAAGAAACUAACAAGGAUCUCCGUAGUAACGGCGAGUGAAGCGGAGUCAGCUCAAUUUUUUAAUCGGAUGCCUUCGGUAUUCGAGUUGUAAUCUUAGGACUUGUGCUCAGUGUGUGACCCAGGCUUGAGUCGUUUGGAAAGACGUCCCAUAGAGUGUGAUAGGCACCUACACGGCCUGGAGCUCGCCAUGUACGACACAUGUUCCACGAGUAGAAUUCCUUGGGAAAGGAGUUCGAAUUGGGAGGUAAGCAUCUUCCAAAGCUAAAUAUUGGCGGUAUUCCGAUAGCGAACAAGUAGCGUGAGCGAAAGAUGAAAAGAACUUUGAAAAGAGAGUUAAAAGUACUUGAAAUUGCUCAGAGGUAAGUUAUUGAUGUCAAUCGUUUAGCGACUCCCUACUUUUGAGACAGCUGAGGUGCGUUCGUUGCUAAGCCUUUUCCGGUCUAGCUUCUUUCCUGCUUUCAGUUGCUUUUUUGUAUGUGUGUCGCUCUGCCCAGGGCUUCUUCGGCGUGACUGCAGAAAGCUUGCGGAAGGUGAGAAUCUCUGGGGUUCGCUUCAUUGGUUCUGUUACAGCCGUUUGCCAUACAGUCUCUCGGAGAUGUAAUGGGGUAUUCCAGUCCUUCUUGCCUGCUGUGCAGUCGUAUAGUAGAACAAAGUUCUCCUUGUCGAUGCCGCAUGGUACUGCUUGACGCGACUAGCCAUUACCCUUUCUUGGGUUAAUGACAUCAAUUGACCCGUCUUGAAACACGG
Molecule: ribosomal RNA, 781 nt
Filed under: uncultured fungus
Lineage: Eukaryota; Fungi
Description: eukaryotic LSU rRNA
Rfam family: Eukaryotic large subunit ribosomal RNA
Source: RNAcentral